This 828-nucleotide ribosomal RNA is filed under the name Nocardioides sp. RNAcentral's name for it is "bacterial SSU rRNA". It matches the Rfam family "Bacterial small subunit ribosomal RNA", at positions 55 to 899 of the family's 1533-position model. Lineage: Bacteria; Bacillati; Actinomycetota; Actinomycetes; Propionibacteriales; Nocardioidaceae. The record is from RNAcentral.
AUGCAAGUCGAGCGGAAGGCCCUUCGGGGUACUCGAGCGGCGAACGGGUGAGUAACACGUGAGUAAUCUGCCCCAGGCUCUGGGAUAGCCACCGGAAACGGUGAUUAAUACCGGAUACGACAACCGAUUGCAUGAUCUGGUUGUGGAAAGUUUUUCGGCCUGGGAUGUGCUCGCGGCCUAUCAGCUUGUUGGUGAGGUAAUGGCUCACCAAGGCUUCGACGGGUAGCCGGCCUGAGAGGGUGACCGGCCACACUGGGACUGAGACACGGCCCAGACUCCUACGGGAGGCAGCAGUGGGGAAUAUUGGACAAUGGGCGGAAGCCUGAUCCAGCAACGCCGCGUGAGGGAUGACGGCCUUCGGGUUGUAAACCUCUUUCAGCACAGACGAAGCGCAAGUGACGGUAUGUGCAGAAGAAGGACCGGCCAACUACGUGCCAGCAGCCGCGGUAAUACGUAGGGUCCGAGCGUUGUCCGGAAUUAUUGGGCGUAAAGGGCUCGUAGGCGGUCUGUCGCGUCGGGAGUGAAAACCAGGUGCUUAACACCUGGCCUGCUUUCGAUACGGGCAGACUAGAGGUACUCAGGGGAGAAUGGAAUUCCUGGUGUAGCGGUGAAAUGCGCAGAUAUCAGGAGGAACACCGGUGGCGAAGGCGGUUCUCUGGGAGUAUCCUGACGCUGAGGAGCGAAAGUGUGGGGAGCGAACAGGAUUACAUACCCUGGUAGUCCACACCGUAAACGUUGGGCGCUAGGUGUGGGACACAUUCCACGUGUUCCGUGCCGCAGCUAACGCAUUAAGCGCCCCGCCUGGGGAGUACGGCCGCACGGCUAAAA